UGAUGGCAGGCAUUCGAGCUUUAUUUAUGUACUUGUGGCUGCAGCUGGACUGGUGAGCAGAGGAGAGAGUGUGGGGCUGCAUCUUCCUACCCUGAGUGUCCAGGAGGGUGACAACUCUAUUAUCAACUGUGCUUAUUCAAACAGCGCCUCAGACUACUUCAUUUGGUACAAGCAAGAAUCUGGAAAAGGUCCUCAAUUCAUUAUAGACAUUCGUUCAAAUAUGGACAAAAGGCAAGGCCAAAGAGUCACCGUUUUAUUGAAUAAGACAGUGAAACAUCUCUCUCUGCAAAUUGCAGCUACUCAACCUGGAGACUCAGCUGUCUACUUUUCUCGUGCUGUGGUGUAAUUCAGGGAGCCCAGAAGCUGGUAUUUGGCCAAGGAACCAGGCUGACUAUCAACCCAAUAUCCAGAACCCUGACCCUGCCGUGUACCAG
RNAcentral lists this long non-coding RNA (434 nucleotides) under Homo sapiens (human). Its description in RNAcentral is "non-protein coding lnc-ABHD4-12:4". Lineage: Eukaryota; Metazoa; Chordata; Mammalia; Primates; Hominidae. The record is from RNAcentral.